Molecule: RNA transcript, 2928 nt
Organism: Bombus huntii
Lineage: Eukaryota; Metazoa; Arthropoda; Insecta; Hymenoptera; Apidae
Gene name: hematopoietic prostaglandin D synthase-like
Exons: 4
Source: RefSeq, a predicted model, not a curated record
UUCUCGUUACGAUUCGGUGAAUCGACGCCGCGAAGUAAUCGUUCCCCUGUUUCGGUUAAGAUAAGAGGUGGUUAAAUGAAUAUGACACAGUAUAGUAAGUUAUAUUUCACCGUUUAUUCCAACAACUUAUAACGAAGGCAGUUACGCUGAUGCGUAUGUACGAGAUGAAUAAGUGACUGAUCUGUGGGUGUGUCCUACCCGGUGGAAGGAUAUUGACCGUUCGAAGGAUGUAAAAUCAGAACUGUCUUGGGAGACGAUGCUGUCUCGGAGGAAAGCUAAGGAUGGGUGUGUCUAGCGCACGGGACCAUCGGAUUUGUUGGUGACGAUUUUAGUUAGGAUUUUAGUUCAAGCUGAGUUGACCGUGAUUCAAUUCACGAAUAUCGGAGAGGAAAAGUCGUAAUUCACAAUAUUACACACAAUAAUACCUUCACAUAAAGGAACACAGCUCAGAUGAGACUUUUUAUAGUUAAACUUUUAACGUACUCAUAGACACGAAAAUUUUUUUUUAAAUAGAACUGUUACAUUUUACGACACGUAUAACAUCGAACAUUUACCAACAUAGCAAUGCCAGCGUACAUAUAUAUAUACUGGUGUACUGGUCAUCUUUUUUCCACACGUUUUUAGCUUUUUAGCUGAUUGUGAAUGGGCGCCUAAUCAGCCAAUCAGAAAUGGCCGGUAUUGUAUGAAUCCUUUUCUUCAAUGCUUGAAGAGCUGGAUAUUUAUCCAAAACUGGUGCCCCAAACAUAUAUUCGAAAUUUUCAAGGGUCUCUGCAAAUACGAAGUCCGCCCAUGUCGUCUGAAAAAAGGAUCCUCCUCCAUGCGACAGUAGCAGAUAGCUGAAACGUAUAUGAAACCAACCGUUACGUUCAUUUGUGUUUUUCCCCCCAAACGAAGAGAAAAUAAGUUGUGAAAGAAGGAGUAGCCUCUCAUAGUUCCUACAAUUUCUUUAUUCUCUUUGCUUUCUUCAAUAUUGCCUCAACAAGUUCCUGUGGUUCACGAUACUUGAAAUAUAUACAAUGUUACCAGCGUGGAAAUUGUCUUGGAAACUUGGAAAAUCUUUCAAGAGGAACAACAUUGCUAACUGAGAUUCGAGAAAGGAAAGGUCCAUAUUUUUGGGGAUACAAUUAAAAAAGUAAAUCGUCGGUGGAAUAUUGUUUCACCUAUCAAGAAUUUUGGAAGAUAUAAUUAGAAAGGUACAACCUGGGUAGAAAAUUGUACUCCUUAUCGAGCAUUUUUGAAAAUAUAAUUGAGAAAGUGGAAUCUGGAUAGAAAAUUGUUUUACCUACGAAGCAUUAUAAAAAUUGACAGAGCAAGGAAAAUGAGCGACGAACCUACCUACAAACUAAUCUACUUCAAUGCCCGUGGUCGUGCCGAACAUAUACGGUACAUAUUUGCAUAUACUGGCAUCGAGUAUACCGACGAGAGGAUCCCCGAAGAACUCUGGCCUGAAUACAAGGAUUGUAAGCGUGAAGAAUCGAUUUUUACUUUCAUCGUUCAACUCUCAGGUAUCUACCAUUUACUCAAACUUUUCUGUAUAUAAAACUUUCGUUUCACGUGCAGGCUAAACUUACUUAAAGUAAAAUUUCAUACGGAAUAAAGUCGAACUUUUCAUUAAGUUUUGCUUCCGUAAUAUCGUGUUUAUCGAAUACCAACUUAAUUCACUUACGAUUCUCGAAUUUUUGUGUUGCAAUCUUUAUUGUUUUCAAUGAAUCGAAGCAUUUCGAAUAUUUUGAGAAAACCGUAAAUAGGUGACUUAAAAUAGGAAUACAAAAAUACUUCUACGUUUCUCGUUAAUUUAAAAACUUUUUAGGACUUGUCGGAAAAAAGGAUAAAAAAUUGAAAUCAGUUCGGAUAUGAACAAGAACAUAACUAAAAAGUCGAAAGAACAAAGCAGACAUAAAAUUCGAUCUUCCGUUGCGACAUUUCUAUCGUAAAUAGUAUAAUAAAAGUUUUACGCAGCAUAGUCUUCGAUAUAAUCUUAUAUGUCGCUUGCAGAUAGAGAAACCAAAAAUCAACGUAAGUCUGUAAAUCAAUCCUGUCGGUGUAAAACACAAAAUUACGUUCGCAAGAGACAUUCGAUUUAUAUUCCUUGCAUUUCAAUUUUCAUUACAAGAACCGUGUACAUUUUCUAAUAUUUUUUCCGUGUCUGGUAUUAUGCGACGUGAAUUUUUUAUUCGCAGUUGUAAGUCCACUAUCAUUGCAUAAGGUCUUCCCGCAAAACGAUACUGAUCGUUCCUCGUACAUUCAGUACACCGCAUCAGACAGAUUCGUUCCUUUCCGUGAGAAUUACAAAUUUUAUACUCGAUCUUUUAUCCUUGAUUUUAAAAACUUUAGGUUCUUCUCAACAGUCAAAAACACGCGAUACCCUGUCCAUCGUAAUCAUAAGAAAAGAAAAAAAGGAGAAAGAAGACAUUUCUGUAUUUCUUUACUAGGCCAUGUUGAUUAAAACCGAAAUGAUUUCGAUUCAUCUAUUCACAAGAACGCAACGGCCUCGGAAGCUGUGUUGUGAUUUCCUAUCGUUCGUUUCCCUCUACACAGUGUUCAUAUGAGCCAUGUUUGUUCUUAGCAAUGCCUUAUAAAAAGCUGCCUGUGCUGGAGAUAGACGGGAAACCGGUAGCGCAGAGUAACGCUGUGGCGCGAUACUUGGCGAGGAAGUACGAUCUAAUGGGAAAGGACGAAUGGGAUGCGAUGAUAUGCGACGUGCUCGUCGAUACUCUUGAAGAUUUGGAGCAAGGUGAGUAACUGAUGAGAUGACUUUGCGUUUGUCUCACCAUAGAGACAGACGUUCAAGAAUUCAUUGUGAAAAGACGAGUACAAACAAGAUACGUAUGUCUUUCCGUUAAGCGAAUGUUACAGUUUGUUUGCAAAAGUCAGUUUUUAGAUUAUAGAAUCGUAGAUAGAAUUUAGAGGAUAGAAACUUUUAGUAGU